Papaver somniferum (opium poppy) is the source of this 613-nucleotide long non-coding RNA. RefSeq lists it as uncharacterized. The record is from RefSeq and is a predicted model, not a curated record. The transcript has 3 exons. NCBI's taxonomy places the organism in Eukaryota, Viridiplantae, Streptophyta, Magnoliopsida, Ranunculales, Papaveraceae.
CGGGGUUGUCAGCCGAGUUGAAUCGGACAUGGGCAGUUCCGCUCUCUCUCUAUAUAUAUAAUUAACCGACUAGUGUAUUUCCCAUCUUCAUCUCAUCUGUGUUUGUAUCGCCGCCUGCAGAAUACGAAGAAAACUUACUUGUUAAUCACAAUACGAAGAAAACUUUCUUGUUAAUCACAACAAUGUCAGCUCCAUUGAGAACAAUGGUUCCCCAAAUUAGGUGUUUAGGUGCAAAGUUCAUUUCAGUAAGGAACUUCUCUGCAGAGGGUGAAGGAGUCAAGGAGGUUUCUGAAAACGUAUAUAAAAAGGCAGGUGCAAAUAUUGCGAAAAUGGCAGCUGGUGGAGUUGUGGGAGUGACUUUAGCUACUUGGUUGCAGUACAAAGCCCAUGGCAAAGCAACAAGCCGCAUCUUGGGAUUUACGAUUGGCAAAUAAGCUUGAGGGAUGGUGAUCUUAGGUUUUUGUUGAUGCUCUAUAUAUUUCUUAAGUAACACUCCACUUUGUCUUCUCCGUUAAGAAGAAACCUAACUUUUGUGUUGUUUGAAUGAAUCUAUUAUCCAUCUGUGUGAUUAACAUGCGAUAUUAGCUCUUUGAAUGACUCUGUUGCCUUCUUA